UAGGGAAUUUUGCGCAAUGGGGGAAACCCUGACGCAGCAACGCCAUGUGAGGGAUGACGCAUUUCGGUGUGUAAACCUCUGUCAGCAGGGAAUAAAUGGCCGCAAGGCAGUUGAAUGUACCUGCAAAGGAAGCCCCGGCUAACUUCGUGCCAGCAGCCGCGGUAAUACGAGGGGGGCAAGUGUUGUUCGGAAUCACUGGGCGUAAAGGGAGCGUAGGCGGGAAUUUAAGUUGGAUGUUUAAACCUGGGGCCCAACCCCAGCUCGGCAUCCAAAACUGGGUUUCUUGAAUAGAGGAGAGGUAGAUGGAAUUUCCGGUGUAGCGGUGGAAUGCGUAGAUAUCGGAAAGAACACCAGUUGCGAAGGCGAUCUACUGGACUCAUAUUGACGCUGAGGCUCGAAAGCAUGGGGAGCAAACAGGAUUAGAUACCCCUGUAGUCC
This 438-nucleotide ribosomal RNA is filed under the name uncultured bacterium. Its description in RNAcentral is "bacterial SSU rRNA". It matches the Rfam family "Bacterial small subunit ribosomal RNA", at positions 355 to 796 of the family's 1533-position model. The record is from RNAcentral.